This 779-nucleotide ribosomal RNA is filed under the name Salmonella enterica subsp. enterica serovar Kentucky. Its description in RNAcentral is "partial 23S ribosomal RNA". It matches the Rfam family "Bacterial large subunit ribosomal RNA", at positions 711 to 1405 of the family's 2925-position model. The record is from RNAcentral. Lineage: Bacteria; Pseudomonadati; Pseudomonadota; Gammaproteobacteria; Enterobacterales; Enterobacteriaceae.
AGACCCGAAACCCGGUGAUCUAGCCAUGGGCAGGUUGAAGGUUGGGUAACACUAACUGGAGGACCGAACCGACUAAUGUUGAAAAAUUAGCGGAUGACCUGUGGCUGGGGGUGAAAGGCCAAUCAAACCGGGAGAUAGCUGGUUCUCCCCGAAAGCUAUUUAGGUAGCGCCUCGUGAAUUCAUCUCCGGGGGUAGAGCACUGUUUCGGCUAGGGGGCCAUCCCGGCUUACCAACCCGAUGCAAACUGCGAAUACCGGAGAAUGUUAUCACGGGAGACACACGGCGGGUGCUAACGUCCGUCGUGAAGAGGGAAACAACCCAGACCGCCAGCUAAGGUCCCAAAGUCAUGGUUAAGUGGGAAACGAUGUGGGAAGGCCCAGACAGCCAGGAUGUUGGCUUAGAAGCAGCCAUCAUUUAAAGAAAGCGUAAUAGCUCACUGGUCGAGUCGGCCUGCGCGGAAGAUGUAACGGGGCUAAACCAUGCACCGAAGCUGCGGCAGCGAACGUAUCACUUAAAGCGAUUCAGCGGAUGACGAUUGACGGAGCGAAGCGACGUCAAAGCGUAUACAAAGUCGAGUCGGUUUAAGGAUACGUUCGUUGGGUAGGGGAGCGUUCUGUAAGCCUGUGAAGGUGGCCUGUGAGGGUUGCUGGAGGUAUCAGAAGUGCGAAUGCUGACAUAAGUAACGAUAAAGCGGGUGAAAAGCCCGCUCGCCGGAAGACCAAGGGUUCCUGUCCAACGUUAAUCGGGGCAGGGUGAGUCGACCCCUAAGGCGAGGCCGA